Molecule: ribosomal RNA, 491 nt
Filed under: uncultured bacterium
Lineage: Bacteria
Description: partial 16S ribosomal RNA
Rfam family: Bacterial small subunit ribosomal RNA
Source: RNAcentral
AGUGAACGCUGGCGGUAGGCCUAACACAUGCAAGUCGAACAGCAGCACAGUAAGAGCUUGCUCUUACGGGUGGCGAGUGGCGGACGGGUGAGGAAUACAUCGGAAUCUACUUUUUCGUGGGGGAUAACGUAGGGAAACUUACGCUAAUACCGCAUACGACCUACGGGUGAAAGCAGGGGAUCUUCGGACCUUGCGCGAUUGAAUGCGCCGAUGUCGGAUUAGCUAGUUGGCGGGGUAAAGGCCCACCAAGGCGACGAUCCGUAGCUGGUCUGAGAGGAUGAUCAGCCACACUGGAACUGAGACACGGUCCAGACUCCUACGGGAGGCAGCAGUGGGGAAUAUUGGACAAUGGGCGCAAGCCUGAUCCAGCCAUACCGCGUGGGUGAAGAAGGCCUUCGGGUUGUAAAGCCCUUUUGUUGGGAAAGAAAAGCAGCAGGUUAAGACCCCGCUGUUCUGACGGUACCCAAAGAAUAAGCACCGGCUAACUUCGU